GAUGAAGAACGCAGCGAAAUGCGAUAAGUAAUGUGAAUUACAGAAUUCAGUGAAACAUCGAAUCUUUGAACGCACAUUGCGCCCGCCAGUAUUCUGGCGGGCAUGCCUGUUCGAGCGUCAUUUCAACCCUCAAGCCCCCGGGCUUGGUGUUGGGGAUCGGCGUGCCCUCGCGGCGCGCCGUCCCCUAAAUCUAGUGGCGGUCUCGCUGUAGCUUCCUCUGCGUAGUAGCAACACUCGCACUGGAUCGCAGCGCGGCCACGCCGUUAAACCCCCCACUUCUGAAAGUUUGACCUCGGAUCAGGUAGGAAUACCCGCUGAACUUAAGCAUAUCAAUAAGCGGAGGA
Molecule: unclassified non-coding RNA, 344 nt
Filed under: soil metagenome
Description: partial contains 5.8S ribosomal RNA, internal transcribed spacer 2, and large subunit ribosomal RNA
Rfam family: 5.8S ribosomal RNA (bases 1-120)
Source: RNAcentral